UAGGGAAUCUUCCACAAUGGACGCAAGUCUGAUGGAGCAACGCCGCGUGAGUGAAGAAGGUUUUCGGAUCGUAAAGCUCUGUUGUUGGUGAAGAAGGAUAGAGGCAGUAACUGGUCUUUAUUUGACGGUAAUCAACCAGAAAGUCACGGCUAACUACGUGCCAGCAGCCGCGGUAAUACGUAGGUGGCAAGCGUUGUCCGGAUUUAUUGGGCGUAAAGCGAGCGCAGGCGGAACGAUAAGUCUGAUGUGAAAGCCCACGGCUCAACCGUGGAACUGCAUCGGAAACUGUCAUUCUUGAGUGCAGAAGAGGAGAGUGGAAUUCCAUGUGUAGCGGUGGAAUGCGUAGAUAUAUGGAAGAACACCAGUGGCGAAGGCGGCUCUCUGGUCUGCAACUGACGCUGAGGCUCGAAAGCAUGGGUAGCGAACAGG
This 429-nucleotide ribosomal RNA is filed under the name bacterium. RNAcentral's name for it is "partial 16S ribosomal RNA". It matches the Rfam family "Bacterial small subunit ribosomal RNA", at positions 355 to 776 of the family's 1533-position model. The record is from RNAcentral.